ACCAUCAAAAUGAUAUCAAGAAGAUACUCUUCAAAUGUCAUACAAUCUAGGAUUUGAUUUUUGGCUCCAGCAUAUGAAAAAAUCAAACCCUAGGGCACUCAAGCAACACUUGCUGAAAAUCUCACCACCCUUCUUGCAACUUUUGCCACUCAAAAUCUCCUUUCUUUUUUCUUAAUUUUUUUCUAAAUUUUUUUAUAUUUACCACAUCCAUUAUCUUCAAUUUAAGCC
Molecule: long non-coding RNA, 228 nt
Filed under: Elaeis guineensis (African oil palm)
Lineage: Eukaryota; Viridiplantae; Streptophyta; Magnoliopsida; Arecales; Arecaceae
Description: long non-coding RNA (EGUI_LNC069213)
Source: RNAcentral